AUUUUCAGAUGAUUUCAUCACUCCAGUCUGUCCGGUUGAGGGCUUUUAUUGCAACCAUAAACCCCUACGUUUAUCUUCAAAUGGUGUCUUCGAUGACGGUAGCCUAUACUAUAAAAAUGAAGGUCAUCUAUUUUGGCAUUCCUAUUCUGACACUCAACAGCACAACAAAACAUUUUCUAGUGAGUUAUAUUGUUCGUUUCACUCGUGUCUCAUUCAUUUCCACUGUUUUUCUGCCACCACAUGCGCGCGUGACGUAACUGUGACGUCGACUCGCAAAAGGUCAAGGUUUGUAUUUAUCAAAUUUAUCAUUUUACUGUCAUCGAUUGAUGUCAAGUUAAUAUCUUUUGAUAGGAUAAUAGGAAGUAAAUAAACUUUAAUAGUGUAGUCUCUGUAGGAUUUUCUGCUUUAAGCUGUAUUUUAUCUGGCCCAGAUCCACUUUAAUGUUAUUAUGCAGAGUACAAACGCUAAUUAAUGCAGUUAGCAUAUAGUGUUAUUAUGCUAAAGCGCUCUUUGACAAUCAUUUGUGUAUGUACAUAAAGUUAUAAAUUACAGUGUAUGCAGAGGCCAUUAGCAUCGCGCUCAAAAAUGACCAAAGAGUUUCAAUAUUUUUCCUCUUUAAAAUGUGACUCUUCUAUAGUUACAUCGUGUACUAAGACUAACAGAAAAUGAAAAGUUGUGAUUUUCUAGGCAGAUAUGGCUAGGAGCUAAUACUCUCAUUCUGGCGUAAUAAUCACGGACUUUGCAACAUGAUUGCAGCAGUCGCAAUGAUAUUACGCAGCACCUGUCCUGAAUAUUGUCCCCUUGAUAACUUGCAAUUGCAGGGGAUUAUUUUCGGGCACUGCUUACCGUAUAUCAUUGCAGCAGCAAAGUCCUUGAUCAUUAUGCCGUAAUGAGAGUACAGUUCCUAGCCAUAUCACCACCAUACACCUUCAUAUGAAAAAAGCAGAACAGAAAAAGGAUGCAUUAUAAGGUUAAUACAUAAUUAUGAACAGAUAUAAGAACAGGUUGUUUAUUUUAACAGCUUUUCAUCGUUGGCCGAAUCUUCUGUUGAUGACAUAACAGAGGAAGAGACACUUAAGUCAACACAAGCAACGGGGACUUAAAGAUAUCCUUGUGUGUGUGUGUGACAUAACAGUAAUAAACAUUAAAAUGACAUAACUUCUGUUACAGUCAUUCACCUGUGUGUGAUCUGUUGUUUAGGACAGAGUUUCUCAAAUGGGUUUGUGUUAAUGAGGAAACUGCAGUGAGUUUGUUAAAUUGUUUAUAAAAGUACAAAUUCUAAAAUAAAUACAGCUGUACGUUUUCAAAAGUACACAAUGUGUUCAUGUAUAUGUUUUACAGAGAUGUAUAAUAUAAGCAUAAGAUUUUUUUGUACUCUCAGCAAAUAAAAAACAAAUGUGUUAAGAUUAUUCAGUUUUUACUCAGACUAUAUUAUAUUUAUUUUUUACACUAUAUAACUAUAUUCAAAACCAUAUUGUUUUCUCUAAGCGGACAUUUCUACACCCAUUACUCCUAAGGGAAAACAUGAACUUUGAGCUGAAUUUGGAGUUUGAUGAUAAUGAUUUUAAUAUCUGAAUGUCUUUAUUCAGCCAAAUAGUCAUAGUAAGAAUUACCUACUCAGACCAUAGACUGUAAAAAAGACUGCAUUUUUGUCCAUUAUCAUCUUUGGUUGUGCAUUAUUUUCUUAUUCAACAGCCAUUGCAAAUUAUCCUUAAUUAUAUUAGGGUCUAUCCUCACAAAAAUAUUUGCCCCAGGCAAUUUCUUAACUUUUUCUGUUAAGGCACAGGAGUGUUCGAUGGGUAAUACAAGCAGAUAUCAGUUUCCCUUAGCCGUUAUUUUCUAUUUCCCUGUUUGUGCCAAUUUAACAGUUUUAUUUUCUCUUUUACCUAUAAAUGAACCCCUCAAAAUAUUGACAUGACACUGAGUGAACUACACUGUCUGUGUUUAUCUUGGUUCCUGAUAUCAUUUUCUCUGCUCCAUCAUACAACCUAGCCUAACUUGAUCUGAUCAACUCAAUGUUAUUGAAGUUAAAUCCACAUAGUAGGAAAAUGUAAUGACAGGUGAAAUGUAUACACCAUUAGCACCAGUACUACUGUUGGUAUAAUGUAAUAUAGUAUAAUGUUUUCUAUAAUUAGUUUUUUUUUGUCAGUCAAUAUGUUGUUUUUAUUUUCAGUUUAACUUAAGACUUGAAUUUUGAUGACUUUUAUGAUUGUCAUGCUUAUGUUGCUGCAUGUAAUGGAUAAAAGUAGAGAGAGAGAGAGAGAGAGAGAGAGAGAGAGAGAGAGAGAGAGAAUACUGUAUUUGUAAAAAUGUAUGUUCUUUCUGUGGCGUUUUUAAUUUAACUACUAAAAUAGAUUUUCAUUUUAGUGACGAAUAUAACUGAUAUGAAUAUAACUGAUAUGUAUCUCCAAUGAAGCUGUUGUUAUUUAUUAAUGAACAAAUAAAAAAAAAUGUGGCUGCAAUCUAACCUGAACCACAAACUGAAAGCUGCCUCUGACGUCACAGCUCAUAAUGAUUGGCUGAGGUUCUUCACGUGAUCCAAAUGGACCGCCCAAAACAUCUCUAGUAACAACUGAGGGCACAGUUGCUUUGUUUUAUCGUUUUAUUCUGUUUAAAUCCCUAAAUGUCAGUAAAUGGAAAAUAACUUAAUUAAUCUGCAGACCUGAUGGACAGGUUAUGCUUAUCUUCGGUAGCGGAACCGGAAGUGAUGGAAACGGUUUAACGAAAUCCGCAUCAGAAGAUAUCAAAGUCUGUGUGUCUAUGAAGAGUGGAUCAAUGGAUCCACCAAUAGAAAUGAAGAGAUGGCCUGACCAAAAGUCGGUCAUAACCAAACCCGUCUGUAAAAAGAUGAAGUUUGAGCAGUCUGUGAAUCAACCACGAUAUUUGUAUCCUGAAUUCAGCCGUGACUCUAAACUUAAUGAAGUCCUGAACACAUUUAAAUCAAAUCUGAGAGAGAAGUUUCAGUGUUUGUAUCCAGGAACAUCAAACCAGAGAAACCCAACACUACUGAAUGAAAUCUACACAGAGCUCAACAUCACAGAGAGUAAAAGUGGAGAGGCAGAGGAGACACCAAUCAAAUGUAAUGACAUCUUUAAACCUUUACCUGAACAACACAAACACAUCAGAAGUGUGCUAACAAAGGGAGUCGCUGGCAUUGGAAAAACAGUCUCUGUACAGAAGUUCAUUCUGGACUGGGCUGAAGAGAAAGAGAAUCAGGACGUCCACCUCAUAUUUCCACUUCCUUUCAGAGAGAUCAAUUUGAUGAAGGACAAAACACUCAGUCUUUUAGAUCUUCUUCAUCUUUUCUUCCCAGAGACAAAAGAAAUGGAAAUCUUCAGUGAUAAAUAUAAAGUGUUGUUCAUCUUUGAUGGUUUGGAUGAGUAUCGUCUGUCUCUGGAUUUUCACAGCAGUGUGAGGUUGUGUGAUGUAAGUGAAUCAACCUCAGUGGACGUGAUGCUGACAAACCUCAUCAAGGGGAAUCUGUUUCCCUCUGCUCUCAUCUGGAUCACCUCCAGACCAGCAGCAGCUGAUCUCAUCCCCUCUGAGUGUGUUGAUCGAGUCACAGAGGUACGAGGCUUCAGUGAUCCACAGAAGGAGGAAUACUUCAGGAAGAGAAUCAGUGAUGAGAGUCUGUCUGAUCAAAUCAUCUCGCACCUGAAGUCAUCCAGGAGUCUCUACAUCAUGUGUCACAUCCCAGUGUUCUCCUGGAUUUCAGUCACUGUUCUAGAGAGAAUAUUGAGGGAAGACAAGAGUCAAGAGAUCCCCAAGACUCUCACUCAAAUGUACACACACUUCCUGAUCAUUCAGACAAACGUAAAAAAUCAGAAGGACUAUAAGAAGAAUAAAGAGAUGAUCUUCAAACUGUGUAAACUGGCUUUUGAGCAGCUUGUGAAAGGCAAUCUGAUCUUCUAUGAUGAAGACCUGAGAGAUUGUGGCAUUGAUGUAGCAGAAGCAUCAGUGUACUCAGGAUUGUGUACUCAGAUCUUCAGAGAGGAGUUUGGUUUGUGUCAGAGGAAAGUUUACAGCUUUGUUCAUCUGAGCAUUCAGGAACAUCUAGCAGCUCUACAUGCGCACCUCUCUUUUAUGAACAAAAACGUGAAUGUGUUUGAUCAAAUUAAACCGAUUCAAAUACUUACAUUUUCAAUACAUGAUCUGUAUAAGAGAGCUAUAGAUGAGGCUCUACAGAGUAAAAAUGGACAUCUGGAUCUCUUUCUUCGUUUUCUUAUGGGUUUGUCACUGAAGUCAAAUCAGAAUCUCAUACAUGAUCUGAAGAUCCAGAUAGGUUACAGUCGUCAUAGCAAUAAGAAAACAAUCGAGUGCAUCAAGAAUAUAAUCAAUAGCAUCCCAUCUCCAGAGAAUUCCAUCAAUCUGUUUCACUGUCUAAAUGAACUGGGUAAUGUUUCACUAAUGACAGAAUUCCGAAAUUAUAUGAUUAAUGCAUUAAGUAAAGUCACACUCUCUUCAUCUCAGUGGUCAGCUUUAGUUUUGGCGAUUCAAGAAUCCGGAUCAUUUCAGUUGACAAGUUGUAAUCUUACAGCUGAAGCUUGUGAAGCUCUGACUUCAGCUCUGAGAUUAAACCCAUCACACAUGACACAUCUGGAUUUGUCUAAUAAUAAUCUUGGAGAUUCAGUAGUGAAGCUGCUCUCUAAUAUACUGAAGAAUCCUCACUGUAAACUGCAGAUACUGAAGUUGAAGAGAUGUAAUAUCACAGAUGAAGGUUGUGUUGCUCUGACUUCAGCUCUGAAAUCAAUCCCAUCACACCUUAGAGAUCUGAAUCUGACGGAAAAUAAUCUUGGAGAUUCAGCAAUGGAGAAUCUCUCUGCUGUACUUGAGAAUCCUCAAUGUAAACUGGAGAACCUCUGGUUGAAGAAUUGUAAUAUCACAGAUGAAGGUUGGGUUGCUCUGUCUUCAGCUCUGACAUCAAACCCAUCACACCUGAGAGAUCUGAAUUUGUCUGAUAAUGAUCUAGGAGUUUUAGGAGCGAAGCUGAUCUCUGCUGUACUGGAGAAUCCUCAGUGUAAAUUGGUGAUGCUAAAGUGAUUGAUAUUCACAUUAUCUGAUCUUGAUCUGAACAUGAUACUGCAGUUCUGAUAAUGACUUACACCUCUCUUUUAACAUCUACAUCUGUUUUGUGGCAACAUGAGAGGUUAAGGAUCUUUUACUGGUACAGUUCUCUAACAAUCUCUCCAGGAAGCAGGUGUAGUUUAAUAAUCAAACAUAAAGUCUCAGAGUUAUAACUUAAGUCUCUUCAGCAUCAAAAUUAACUUUUAAAAGAGUAACUCUUUACUGCUCCCAUUCUCUAGACAUAACAACAGGUCUCCUUUGUCUCUCAUACCACACCAUUCAUUCCAUUUGUUGUAGCUGUCAACCUUUUCAGGUUGAAUAAUUGUAAUAUUACACCUGAAGCGUGUGCUGCUCUGUCUUCAGCUCUGAGAUCAAACCCAUCACACCUGAGAUAACUGAAUCUGACUGAGAAUAAUCUUGGAGAUUUAGGAAUGGAGCAUUUCUCUGCU
RNA transcript from Paramisgurnus dabryanus, 5513 nucleotides. It is a transcript of the gene named NACHT, LRR and PYD domains-containing protein 3-like, with no coding region annotated. The record is from RefSeq and is a predicted model, not a curated record. Lineage: Eukaryota; Metazoa; Chordata; Actinopteri; Cypriniformes; Cobitidae.